GCUCAGGAUGAACGCUGGCGGCGUGCAUAACACAUGCAAGUCGAACGAUGAAACUUAGCUGAUUUCUUCGGAAUGAAAUUAAGUGGAUUAGUGGCGAACGGGUGAGUAACACGUGAGUAACCUGCCUUACACAAGGGGAUAGCCUUUGGAAACGAAGAAUAAUACCCUAUAACGUCAAAAUAUCGCAUGAUAUAGUGACCAAAGAUUUAUCGGUGUAAGAUGGACUUGCGUCUGAUUAGCUAGUUGGUGAGAUAAAAGCCCACCAAGGCGACGAUCAGUAGCCGGCUUGAGAGAGUGUACGGCCACAUUGGGACUGAGACACGGCCCAAACUCCUACGGGAGGCAGCAGUA
RNAcentral lists this ribosomal RNA (351 nucleotides) under uncultured bacterium. Its description in RNAcentral is "bacterial SSU rRNA". It matches the Rfam family "Bacterial small subunit ribosomal RNA", at positions 22 to 356 of the family's 1533-position model. The record is from RNAcentral.